GUUGUUCAGUGGGUGAGGAUGCUGGUUACAGUAAAUGGAAAGAGAGGGCUCAUGGGUAGGUGUCAGCAAGAUCCAGGAGAGAGAGCGAAAGAAAGAGAGAGACCAGAGUCCAGACUCAGACUGUUUUAACGCUCUUGGUUCAACCGCCAGAUGACGGAAAGACAAAUAAAACAGUUAUGAGCUGAACAUACCAGAAUGCCAGUGGAAGGGAGGACAGUAGCAGGUGACCCAACUGUGGUUUGUGACUACUAGGAUUUCCCAUUGUAACCAAUUCAGUUGCAGUAAUUCCAUUACAGAUUUGAUAACGAAAUUACGACUUUUACUAUGACUAUAACUAACUGAUAGAUCUACCAUUACUUGUUACUUCUGUGCACUUUCAUUAUCCUCCAACCUUUGUAGCUCAGUUAGUAGAGCAUGACACUUGUAAUGCCAGAGUAAUGGGUUUGAUUCCCAGGACCACCCAUACAUAAUAUGUAUGCACGCUUGACAGUAAGUCGCUUUAGAUAAAAGUGUCUGCAAAAUUAUUAUUAUCUCAUGAGGAAAAGAAAUGAGAAAAUAUGUUAAAGAUACGUGGGUUUUUGCUAACGGAAGGCACAAGGCAAUAUUUCUAAAAACGUACAGAAGGUAAACAAUUUGUAAAUACAAGUGUUGAUAUUAGUCGGCAGGGGUCUUUACGUCAACAUUAUUGUGUUUUGAUGUAUUUCUGAUCACUUCUGGUAGAUGUUUUUCUAACACCCCUUUUCCAUCUGUUUAUCCAGAAAUCAAAUCCUUUACUUAUGCAGCAUUUUUAAGACGGAAAAUGGUUGAAACAUGUAUCUAUUCCUUCAAUUCUCCAAAAUAUAGACUCUUAGCUUUCAUUUGACACCCAAUUUGAUAUGCUCCUAUGGACUUCACAUGUUGGUGCUCAAGGGUUAUUUUACAUGGAAAUGAGCUAUACACUUACACACAUACCGUACAUAGGAUUAUUUCCUUAAAUGUGUGUGUGUGUGUGUGUGUGUGUGUGUGUGUGUGUGUGUGUGUGUGUGUGUGUGUGUGUGUGUGUGUGUGUGUGUGUGUGUGUGUGAGAGAGAUAGAGAGACAAGAGAGGUGUGUGUGUGUGUGUGUGUGUGUGUGUGUGUGUGUGUGUGUGAGAGAGAGAGAGAGGGAG
This 1147-nucleotide long non-coding RNA is filed under the name Salmo salar (Atlantic salmon). Its description in RNAcentral is "lncRNA (ENSSSAG00000096880.1)". The stretch from base 397 to 454 matches the Rfam family "tRNA", at positions 8 to 63 of the family's 71-position model. The record is from RNAcentral. Lineage: Eukaryota; Metazoa; Chordata; Actinopteri; Salmoniformes; Salmonidae.